Molecule: ribosomal RNA, 274 nt
Filed under: Alphaproteobacteria bacterium
Lineage: Bacteria; Pseudomonadati; Pseudomonadota; Alphaproteobacteria
Description: partial 23S ribosomal RNA
Rfam family: Bacterial large subunit ribosomal RNA
Source: RNAcentral
GUUCAAGCGAAAUAAGGGCAUUUGGUGGAUGCCUUGGCACUGAGAGGCGAUGAAGGACGUAGCACGUUGCGAUAAGCCCCGGGGAGUUGCGAGCAGACUUUGAUCCGGGGAUUUCCGAAUGGGGCAACCCACCGCUUCGGCGGUAUCGCAGGGUAAAUACAUAGCCCUGCGAGGCAAACCCGGCGAACUGAAACAUCUAAGUAGCCGGAGGAAAGGACAUCAACCGAGACUCCGCUAGUAGUGGCGAGCGAACGCGGACCAGGCCAGUGGCCUG